GACGAGGGGUCCUAGCGUUGUUCGGAAUCAUUGGGCGUAAAGCGGGUGUAGGCGGCCAAAUAAGUCAGAUGUGAAAUCCCAGGGCUCAACUCUGGAAGUGCAUCUGAAACUACUUGGCUUGAGUAUGGGAGAGGAUGGUGGAAUUCCUGGUGUAGUGGUGAAAUACGUAGAUAUCAGGAGGAAUACCGGUGGCGAAGGCGGCCAUCUGGCCCAAUACUGACGCUGAGAUCCGAAAGCGUGGGUAGCAAACAGG
RNAcentral lists this ribosomal RNA (253 nucleotides) under uncultured bacterium. RNAcentral's name for it is "partial 16S ribosomal RNA". It matches the Rfam family "Bacterial small subunit ribosomal RNA", at positions 524 to 776 of the family's 1533-position model. The record is from RNAcentral.